UGAGAUUAGCGGCGGACGGGUGAGUAACACGUGGGCAACCUGCCUAUAAGACUGGGAUAACUUCGGGAAACCGGAGCUAAUACCGGAUACGUUCUUUUCUCGCAUGAGAGAAGAUGGAAAGACGGUUUCGGCUGUCACUUAUAGAUGGGCCCGCGGCGCAUUAGCUAGUUGGUGAGGUAAUGGCUCACCAAGGCGACGAUGCGUAGCCGACCUGAGAGGGUGAUCGGCCACACUGGGACUGAGACACGGCCCAGACUCCUACGGGAGGCAGCAGUAGGGAAUCUUCCGCAAUGGACGAAAGUCUGACGGAGCAACGCCGCGUGAACGAAGAAGGCCUUCGGGUCGUAAAGUUCUGUUGUUAGGGAAGAACAAGUACCAGAGUAACUGCUGGUACCUUGACGGUACCUAACCAGAAAGCCACGGCUAACUACGUGCCAGCAGCCGCGGUAAUACGUAGGUGGCAAGCGUUGUCCGGAAUUAUUGGGCGUAAAGCGCGCGCA
Molecule: ribosomal RNA, 500 nt
Filed under: Peribacillus sp.
Lineage: Bacteria; Bacillati; Bacillota; Bacilli; Caryophanales; Bacillaceae
Description: bacterial SSU rRNA
Rfam family: Bacterial small subunit ribosomal RNA
Source: RNAcentral